ACGUCCACAUUACGUUGAAACACCGGUUCCUGUACGGUCACCAAAGUUAAGCAACAUCGAACCUGGUCAGUACAUAAGAUGGGUGACCGCUUGGGAAUGCCAAGCGUAG
Acanthosepion pharaonis is the source of this 109-nucleotide non-coding RNA. NCBI's taxonomy places the organism in Eukaryota, Metazoa, Mollusca, Cephalopoda, Sepiida, Sepiidae. The record is from the annotation of a GenBank genome assembly.